UCGCUUUGAUUACAAAACACCCGCACUCCUGAGAGUAAUCUAUGAUGUUGAAAAGGUAAAAAUGGUUGAAUUUCUUGAUAUGAGCCA
Small nucleolar RNA from Papaver somniferum (opium poppy), 87 nucleotides. The record is from RefSeq and is a predicted model, not a curated record. NCBI's taxonomy places the organism in Eukaryota, Viridiplantae, Streptophyta, Magnoliopsida, Ranunculales, Papaveraceae.